This 64-nucleotide ribosomal RNA is filed under the name Phlebia tremellosa. RNAcentral describes it as "partial 18S ribosomal RNA". The record is from RNAcentral. Lineage: Eukaryota; Fungi; Basidiomycota; Agaricomycetes; Polyporales; Meruliaceae.
CGGAAGGAUCAUUAUCGAGUUUUUGAAACGGGUUGUCGCUGGUCCCAUUCUUAACAGAGUCGGG